Molecule: long non-coding RNA, 1552 nt
Filed under: Homo sapiens (human)
Lineage: Eukaryota; Metazoa; Chordata; Mammalia; Primates; Hominidae
Description: long non-coding RNA NONHSAT103365.2
Source: RNAcentral
GCAGGUUGGAACGCAAACCCAGUCUGGCCACGUCCCGUGAAGUUGUGGACAAAAUGUUUCAGUUUCUGUUCACCUCUGGUGUGGGGGAAAGUGAAGGAAGAGAAUGAAGGUGAGUCCCCGCCGUUGCAAACCUUCACCAAACCACGCGGCCCAGUUUUCGUGAGUACCCCUGUGUCCCAGAGAGGAGGACCCAGCGUCCUCGGCUCUGCCGCAGGCCUUCUUGGUCUGGUGGGUACUCGAGGCAGUUGAGAACCUUGCUGAGCUGAGCGGGCACCUCGCCUUGCCUGCUGGUUCGACACCUGACCCCCUCCCCCUGGGAUUAUGUACACGCAUCAUUGGGCUUCAUGGAUGUGGAAAGGGGAGCAAAGGAUGGUUUGGGGGGUACGUCCGGCUUUAGCGAGGGCGUACGCUUCAGCCCCGACCUUGUCAGUGAGUUGUAGGCGUUGAGGCUGGGCUGCCUCGAGACAGUCACGGCCUGGCCAGAUGGCUGGGAGCUGUGCACCUGGAUGGAGUCCACCCUCUGCGGGGCGGGCGGCGGGUUGUCUCCCCUGCCAAAGCUCUGGUUUCUGGAGAGGUGAGAGGAAUUGGAGGAGUUAGUGUUGUUUCUUUUGAGAGUGGUGGCCUGGUGGCUUCUCGUGAGCGAGUUCGUGGGGUAGCUCCUCUUAUAGUCAACCCCGUAGGAAGAGGAGUGGUGCAUUUCCAGCCGCUUGCUUAGACCGGUCUGAGACAGGGAGGCUCCCGGGGGACCCAGGGAGGCCUCCCGCUGUGGAACUUUGGGGGGCAGGCUGUCCAGGUUCUCCACAAGGUUCACCCCAUGGUUGGGACUCUUGCUGCUGAGAUGUUCCUUGAUGGUCUUAUACUCCAGUGUGGCGGCCUGGUCCUCCAGCGCCAUCUGGGCCACCUCGCUCAUUUUGGGCUGGUCCACGUACUCAUGCUGGUAGCCCUGCUGCGUGAUGGGCAGGACCACCACGCUGGGGAUGUGGCUGGGGGAGGCCCGCAGGGGCAGGUCCGUGGGAAUCACAGGGGAGCCCAUGGGGGGCAUGUCCUUUGUGCAGGCAUUGAUGAGGUUCUGGUUCCUCUCCCACUCGCGGCUGCCGCGGCUGGGCUUCCGCUUCUGCUGCAGCGUUGGGGUUGACUCUGGGGUGGGGAGGGCCGUCAGGUCCAGGUGGUGCUGGUCUGCUUUAAUGAGCAUCUUGGCCGUGUUGCCGGGAGUGGCGAGCUUGCCGUUGUGCAUGAGUGGCGUGAGGAUGGCCUCCGGCUUUGGGUCUUUGGAUUGAGUGUCCCCAAAGAGGCCGCUGAGCUUGGUGACGCUGCUCAUGGAGCCCCGGCGCGAGUGGGUGAGCUCCUUCUCCUUGCGCUGCACCACAGCCACGUCUUUGCGCCGAUGAUCACAGACGCAGUAGACGGUGAUGCCCGAGAAGACGGCCCCCAUGACGAAAGCCAGGAUGACUGCAAUGGCCAAGAGGGUGACGGGAACCAGCUGGUCGUGGCCUUUGAGGGUCCUCCUCCCUUCAAUUGUGACAUCACAGUUGGUUGCUGUGGAAAUGAUUGU